This 489-nucleotide ribosomal RNA is filed under the name uncultured bacterium. Its description in RNAcentral is "partial 16S ribosomal RNA". It matches the Rfam family "Bacterial small subunit ribosomal RNA", at positions 28 to 506 of the family's 1533-position model. The record is from RNAcentral.
GAUGAACGCUAGCGAUAGGCUUAACACAUGUAAGUCGAGGGGCAGCAUGGUCUUAGCUUGCUAAGACUGAUGGCGACCGGCGCACGGGUGCGUAACGCGUAUGCAACUUGCCUCACAGAGGGGGAUAACCCGUCGAAAGACGGACUAAUACCGCGUACACUCCAUCUUGGGCAUCCAAGGUAGAGGAAAUGAAAUUCGCUGUGAGAUAGGCAUGCGUCCCAUUAGCUAGUUGGUGAGGUAACGGCUCACCAAGGCGACGAUGGGUAGGGGAACUGAGAGGUUGAACCCCCACACUGGUACUGAGACACGGACCAGACUCCUACGGGAGGCAGCAGUGAGGAAUAUUGGUCAAUGGGCGAGAGCCUGAACCAGCCAAGUCGCGUGAAGGAUGACUGUCUUAUGGAUUGUAAACUUCUUUUAUACGGGAAUAACAAGAGUCACGUGUGACUCCCUGCAUGUACCGUAUGAAUAAGCAUCGGCUAACUCCGU